RNAcentral lists this long non-coding RNA (227 nucleotides) under Erythranthe guttata (spotted monkey flower). Its description in RNAcentral is "long non-coding RNA (EGUT_LNC003917)". Lineage: Eukaryota; Viridiplantae; Streptophyta; Magnoliopsida; Lamiales; Phrymaceae. The record is from RNAcentral.
GGUAAUUGGCGGAUGACACCAGAAGGUUUUUGUCCUUGCUCCACUUGAGAGUGAUUGGUAGGUCGAAGAUGUGGAGCGGCUGAGACGGCGGUGCGGGAACCCUGACAUCCAUAGCACACUAACAAAAGCUCUUCGAAACGGCAUCGUUUGAUUUCACGAAGCCCGUACUCAGUUUCUCUGAAAUUGGGGUUUUUUAUUUUGUUGUUGAUUUAGAUAAAUUAUAGUUG